UGUUAAAAAUUUUAUCCAAUUGUACUAUUAAAAAUUGACCUGGCUAAUAGAUUAAUCAGACUGUGAAUCAAUUUUUAACUGUAAAAAUAGAUAAAUUUUUUAAUA
RNAcentral lists this microRNA precursor (105 nucleotides) under Gossypium arboreum. Its description in RNAcentral is "MIR7502 microRNA precursor family". It matches the Rfam family "MIR7502 microRNA precursor family". Lineage: Eukaryota; Viridiplantae; Streptophyta; Magnoliopsida; Malvales; Malvaceae. RNAcentral also lists the same sequence under 1 other name. The record is from Rfam by way of RNAcentral.